This 1068-nucleotide ribosomal RNA is filed under the name Staphylococcus aureus. Its description in RNAcentral is "partial 23S ribosomal RNA". It matches the Rfam family "Bacterial large subunit ribosomal RNA", at positions 376 to 1452 of the family's 2925-position model. The record is from RNAcentral. Lineage: Bacteria; Bacillati; Bacillota; Bacilli; Caryophanales; Staphylococcaceae.
UAGUCGAAAAUGUUGUCUCUCUUGAGUGGAUCCUGAGUACGACGGAGCACGUGAAAUUCCGUCGGAAUCUGGGAGGACCAUCUCCUAAGGCUAAAUACUCUCUAGUGACCGAUAGUGAACCAGUACCGUGAGGGAAAGGUGAAAAGCACCCCGGAAGGGGAGUGAAAUAGAACCUGAAACCGUGUGCUUACAAGUAGUCAGAGCCCGUUAAUGGGUGAUGGCGUGCCUUUUGUAGAAUGAACCGGCGAGUUACGAUUUGAUGCAAGGUUAAGCAGUAAAUGUGGAGCCGUAGCGAAAGCGAGUCUGAAUAGGGCGUUUAGUAUUUGGUCGUAGACCCGAAACCAGGUGAUCUACCCUUGGUCAGGUUGAAGUUCAGGUAACACUGAAUGGAGGACCGAACCGACUUACGUUGAAAAGUGAGCGGAUGAACUGAGGGUAGCGGAGAAAUUCCAAUCGAACCUGGAGAUAGCUGGUUCUCUCCGAAAUAGCUUUAGGGCUAGCCUCAAGUGAUGAUUAUUGGAGGUAGAGCACUGUUUGGACGAGGGGCCCCUCUCGGGUUACCGAAUUCAGACAAACUCCGAAUGCCAAUUAAUUUAACUUGGGAGUCAGAACAUGGGUGAUAAGGUCCGUGUUCGAAAGGGAAACAGCCCAGACCACCAGCUAAGGUCCCAAAAUAUAUGUUAAGUGGAAAAGGAUGUGGCGUUGCCCAGACAACUAGGAUGUUGGCUUAGAAGCAGCCAUCAUUUAAAGAGUGCGUAAUAGCUCACUAGUCGAGUGACACUGCGCCGAAAAUGUACCGGGGCUAAACAUAUUACCGAAGCUGUGGAUUGUCCUUUGGACAAUGGUAGGAGAGCGUUCUAAGGGCGUUGAAGCAUGAUCGUAAGGACAUGUGGAGCGCUUAGAAGUGAGAAUGCCGGUGUGAGUAGCGAAAGACGGGUGAGAAUCCCGUCCACCGAUUGACUAAGGUUUCCAGAGGAAGGCUCGUCCGCUCUGGGUUAGUCGGGUCCUAAGCUGAGGCCGACAGGCGUAGGCGAUGGAUAACAGGUUGAUAUUCCUGUACCACCUAUA